RNAcentral lists this ribosomal RNA (432 nucleotides) under uncultured bacterium. Its description in RNAcentral is "partial 16S ribosomal RNA". It matches the Rfam family "Bacterial small subunit ribosomal RNA", at positions 28 to 507 of the family's 1533-position model. The record is from RNAcentral.
GAUGAACGCUGGCGGUAUGCUUAACACAUGCAAGUCGAACGGUCACUUCGGUGAUAGUGGCGGACGGGUGAGUAACGCGUGAGAAUCUGUCUUCAGGUCGGGGACAACAGUUAGAAAUGACUGCUAAUACCGGAUGUGCCUUUGGGUGAAAGAUUUAUUGCCUGAAAAAGAGCUCGCGUCAGAUUAGCUAGUAGGUGGUGUAAGAGACUACCUAGGCUCCGAUCUGUAGCUGGUCUGAGAGGACGAUCAGCCACACUGGAACUGAGACACGGUCCAGACUCCUACGGGAGGCAGCAGUGGGGAAUUUUCCGCAAUGGGCGAAAGCCUGACGGAGCAAUGCCGCGUGAGGGACGAAGGCUUUUGGGUCGUAAACCUCUUUUCUCAAGGAAGAUGAUGGCGGUACUUGAGGAAUAAGCAUCGGCUAACUCUGUG